CCUCCAGGUAGGCAAAAUCGCCAGAGACAAUCACAUGCUGAUACAGAACCUCUGCCCAAUCAGGGAUAAAGUCGUAUGCCUCCGCAAGUAUAGAAGCCUGGAAGGAUAGAGAGAGGACGAGUUCUACAGUUAAGGAAGAUGGACCGAAGACAGACAAAUGGAAUUAGGGUUAACAGGGACUGCAGUCAACCUGGACCAAGUACGUUUCUGUACAGCACUGAUCCGAGUCCACAAAGGAUUAGACGCAGAGUGCAAGAGUUGUGAAACAUUUCCGUACUCACUCACAAGGAUGAAGAACCCUAUGACAUCACUUGUGAAUGUAAACAAAGAUUCUUGAUCAAGGCAAGUUCAAUGGAGGAUCAGGUGAUAUUUUAAUCUAUCAGUCAUAAUAAAUGUAUCCAGAACAAGCAGCAAGGAAAUCCCCAUAUAUUUUGAAUGAAGUAUUAAAGCAGGGACUCCGUUGUUCUCUCAGGUCCAGAACAAAGCCUGAAGAGCUAUCGCCAGCAGCAGAGCAAGACUUGACCCUCAACUAAUGUAUCUGCCUCUACCACCAGCCUGUUCCACACACGCAAGAUAAUUGUUCAACCAGUGAUAAAAGGAAUACCCAUUGUGUACAAUGCAGAUUAGAAAUUAAUUUUGCACAAUUGGUCAAUGUCAUUUGCACCUUCACAGAGUUCAUGCAAAAACAGGUUAUGGAUUAUAAAGAAUUAUAUGAUUCACUUGCUUUGAAACAAGUGAAUUAAAUCUUAUGUAGUAUAUUUUAGCAGCUACAGAUUUUCAUUUUUGUUACAUGACAAUAUUUGGGAAAACGGUGAGGAGGUUAAAGAUGGAAAUUGAAUUACCAAGUCUGAAUGACUCUUUUUGGGAUUCUGCCUCCAAACACAAAAAAGGCCUGGCACUUAGAUCCAUAUGUCCUCAAGAUGAGCAGAAUUAGACCAUUUGGACUAUCGUCUUCUCCACUAUUUGAUCAUGGUUAAUUUAUUUCCCUCUCAAUCCCAUUAUUCCAGAUUCUUCCCAUAACCUUCGGCACCCUUACUAAUCAAGAACCUAUCAACCUUUGUUUUGCACUUCACUAUAUAUAAUUCCUUAAUUGGAAUUGGCAAUAGCUGGUGAGUGGCCCAAAGCCUUUACAAUGUCUACAAGUCAAAUCAAGGAUGUGAUGGAUGCCUGGGUGGGUGCAAAGCUUACAAUAUUGGUAAAGUUCAUCCACCAAGCUUACCAUCAACACACAUUUGCUGCAGUGUGAAAAUGAACUGCAGUUAUUUGCCCAGGCAACACUGACGACACCUUACGACUACCGCCGCCGAGGACAAGGUCUUCAGAGUACAUGAAAUGCCAAAACCUCCCUAAAGCUGUGCGCCCUUCUGACUUGGAAAUAUUUAUUCUUUCAUCAGUACUGGGACUAAAUCCUGAAACACUAUGCAACAGCACUGGUGGAGGGGUUCAAGGAGGGUUCUUUAGACAGAGGGUGGCGAAUCUGGGCAAUUCAUUGCCAGAGAUGGCUAUGGAGGUCAAGUCAUUGGGUAAAUUUAAAGGAGAGGUUGACAGGUUCUUGACUAGACAGAGUGUCAAAGAUUACAGGGAGGAGAAUAGGGUUGAGAGGGAUAAUAAAUCAGCCAUAAUGGAAUGGCAGACUCAAUGGGCUGAAUGUCCUCAUUCUGCUCCUGUGUCUAAUGGAGGCUCACAAUCUAGCAAUAAACACUGGUGAUGCACGUAAAUGUUUCUAGCAUCUCGUGUUUACAUUAAAGAAUACUUGUGAUCUAA
Molecule: long non-coding RNA, 1764 nt
Organism: Hypanus sabinus (Atlantic stingray)
Lineage: Eukaryota; Metazoa; Chordata; Chondrichthyes; Myliobatiformes; Dasyatidae
Exons: 2
Source: RefSeq, a predicted model, not a curated record